CUAACACCCGUGCCAGCAGCCUAGUAAAGCCGGAGGAUGCAAGCGUUAGCCGGAAUAAUGGGGUUGAAAGGGUCAGGAGGCGGCCUUAUAAUGCAGCGGGGAAAGUUGUUGGCUUAACCAAAAAAUGGCCAUUGAUACUGUAGGGCUUGAAUAUUUGUGUAGUAACUAGAAUAUGUAGUGGAGCGGUGAAAUGAUUAGAUAGUACAUGGAAUACCAAUUGCGAAGGCAGGUUACUAACAAAUGAUUGACGCUGAUGGACGAAAGCGUGGGUAGCGAACAGGAUUAGAUACCCUAGUAGUC
Molecule: ribosomal RNA, 300 nt
Filed under: uncultured Sulfurospirillum sp.
Lineage: Bacteria; Pseudomonadati; Campylobacterota; Epsilonproteobacteria; Campylobacterales; Sulfurospirillaceae
Description: bacterial SSU rRNA
Rfam family: Bacterial small subunit ribosomal RNA
Source: RNAcentral